GAUGACGCUUGGCGGCGUGNCUAAUACAUGCAAGUCGAGCGAACAUAUNAGAAGCUUGCUUCUCUGAUGUUAGCGGCGGACGGGUGAGUAACACGUGGGUAACCUACCUAUAAGACUGGGAUAACUCCGGGAAACCGGGGCUAAUACCGGAUAAUAUUUUGAACCGCAUGGUUCAAUAGUGAAAGACGGUUUCGGCUGUCACUUAUAGAUGGACCCGCGCCGUAUUAGCUAGUUGGUAAGGUAACGGCUUACCAAGGCGACGAUACGUAGCCGACCUGAGAGGGUGAUCGGCCACACUGGAACUGAGACACGGUCCAGACUCCUACGGGAGGCAGCAGUAGGGAAUCUUCCGCAAUGGGCGAAAGCCUGACGGAGCAACGCCGCGUGAGUGAUGAAGGUCUUCGGAUCGUAAAACUCUGUUGUUAGGGAAGAACAAAUUUGUUAGUAACUGAACAAGUCUUGACGGUACCUAACCAGAAAGCCACGGCUAACUACGUGCCAGCAGCCGCGGUAAUACGUAGGUGGCAAGCGUUAUCCGGAAUUAUUGGGCGUAAAGCGCGCGUAGGCGGUUUCUUAAGUCUGAUGUGAAAGCCCACGGCUCAACCGUGGAGGGUCAUUGGAAACUGGGAAACUUGAGUGCAGAAGAGGAGAGUGGAAUUCCAUGUGUAGCGGUGAAAUGCGCAGAGAUAUGGAGGAACACCAGUGGCGNAAGGCGGCUCUCUGGUCUGUAACUGACGCUGAUGUGCNNAAGCGUGGGGAUCAAACAGGAUUAGAUACCCUGGUAGUCCACGCCGUAAACGAUGAGUGCUAAGUGUUAGGGGGUUUCCCCCCCUUAUGCUGCAGCUAACGCAUUAAGCCCUCCNCCUGGGGAGUACGACCCCAGGUUGAAACUCAAAGAAUUGACGGGGACCNCCNA
RNAcentral lists this ribosomal RNA (916 nucleotides) under Mammaliicoccus sciuri. RNAcentral describes it as "bacterial SSU rRNA". It matches the Rfam family "Bacterial small subunit ribosomal RNA", at positions 28 to 926 of the family's 1533-position model. The record is from RNAcentral. Lineage: Bacteria; Bacillati; Bacillota; Bacilli; Caryophanales; Staphylococcaceae.